UGGGGAAUUUUGCACAAUGGGGGAAACCCUGAUGCAGCGACGCCGCGUGAUUUAGAAGGCCUUCGGGUUGUAAAAAUCUUUUCUAUGGGAAGAAAAUGACAGUACCAUAGGAAUAAGGACCGGCUAAUUACGUGCCAGCAGCCGCGGUAAUACGUAAGGUCCGAGCGUUGUCCGGAAUCAUUGGGCGUAAAGGGUACGUAGGCGGGUAAGCAAGUUAGAAGUGAAAUCCUGUAGCUCAACUACAGUAAGCUUUUAAAACUGCUCAUCUUGAGAUAUGGAAGGGAAAGUGGAAUUCCUAGUGUAGCGGUGAAAUGCGCAGAUAUUAGGAGGAAUACCGGUGGCGAAGGCGACUCUCUGGUCUGUAACUGACGCUGAGGCUCGAAAGCGUGGGUAGCAAACAGG
This 402-nucleotide ribosomal RNA is filed under the name Bacteroidota bacterium. RNAcentral describes it as "Bacteroidetes bacterium partial 16S ribosomal RNA". It matches the Rfam family "Bacterial small subunit ribosomal RNA", at positions 355 to 776 of the family's 1533-position model. Lineage: Bacteria; Pseudomonadati; Bacteroidota. The record is from RNAcentral.